GACCAGACUCCUACGGGAGGCAGCAGUGGGGAAUAUUGCACAAUGGGGGAAACCCUGAUGCAGCGACGCCGCGUGAGUGAAGAAGUAUUUCGGUAUGUAAAGCUCUAUCAGCAGGGAAGAAAAUGACGGUACCUGACUAAGAAGCCCCGGCUAACUACGUGCCAGCAGCCGCGGUAAUACGUAGGGGGCAAGCGUUAUCCGGAUUUACUGGGUGUAAAGGGAGCGUAGACGGCAUGGCAAGUCAGAUGUGAAAGCCCGGGGCUCAACCCCGGGACUGCAUUUGAAACUGUCAGGCUGGAGUGCAGGAGAGGUAAGUGGAAUUCCUAGUGUAGCGCUGAAAUGCGUAGAUAUUAGGAGGAACACCAGUGGCGAAGGCGGCUUACUGGACUGUAACUGACGUUGAGGCUCGAAAGCGUGGGGAGCAAACAGGAUUAGAUACCCCCGUACCG
RNAcentral lists this ribosomal RNA (449 nucleotides) under uncultured bacterium. RNAcentral describes it as "bacterial SSU rRNA". It matches the Rfam family "Bacterial small subunit ribosomal RNA", at positions 329 to 793 of the family's 1533-position model. The record is from RNAcentral.